CCUUCGGUUGCCCGAGUUGUAAUCUAGAGAAGUGUUUUCCGUGCCGGCCCAUGUACAAGUCCCUUGGAACAGGGCGUCAUAGAGGGUGAGAAUCCCGUCCUUGACAUGGACCCCCGGUGCUUUGUGAUACACUUUCAACGAGUUGAGUUGUUUGGGAAUGCAGCUCAAAAUGGGUGGUGGAUCCAUCUUAAGGUAAAUAUUGGCGAGAGACCGAUAGCGAACAAGUACCGUGAGGGAAAGAUGAAAGCACUUUGGAAAGAGAGUUAAACAGUACGUGAAAUUGUUGAAAGGGAAACGAUUGAAGUCAGUCAUGCUCUUGGACUUACCUCCCUUGAGUGGGGUCAACAUCAGUUUUGAUCGAUGGAUAAAGGCACGGGGAAGGUAGCACUCUCGGGUGAACUUAUAGCCUCGCGUCAUAUACAUUGAUUGGGACUGAGGAACGCAGCAUGCCUUAUGGCCGGGAUUCGUCCACGUACAUGCUUAGGAUGUUGACAUAAUGGCUUUA
This 505-nucleotide ribosomal RNA is filed under the name Naganishia albida. RNAcentral describes it as "eukaryotic LSU rRNA". It matches the Rfam family "Eukaryotic large subunit ribosomal RNA", at positions 128 to 642 of the family's 3401-position model. The record is from RNAcentral. Lineage: Eukaryota; Fungi; Basidiomycota; Tremellomycetes; Filobasidiales; Filobasidiaceae.